This 253-nucleotide ribosomal RNA is filed under the name uncultured bacterium. Its description in RNAcentral is "partial 16S ribosomal RNA". It matches the Rfam family "Bacterial small subunit ribosomal RNA", at positions 524 to 776 of the family's 1533-position model. The record is from RNAcentral.
GACGAACCGUGCAAACGUUGUUCGGAAUCACUGGGCUUAAAGGGCGCGUAGGCGGGCAAGCAAGUCCGGGGUGAAAUCUUUCGGCUCAACCGGAAAAGUGCCUUGGAUACUGCUUGUCUGGAGGGAGGUAGGGGCAUGCGGAACUUCUGGUGGAGCGGUGAAAUGCGUUGAUAUCAGAAGGAACACCAAUGGCGAAGGCAGCUCGCUGGGACGGUACUGACGCUGAGGCGCGAAAGCGUGGGGAGCAAACAGG